This 500-nucleotide ribosomal RNA is filed under the name uncultured bacterium. RNAcentral's name for it is "partial 16S ribosomal RNA". It matches the Rfam family "Bacterial small subunit ribosomal RNA", at positions 30 to 523 of the family's 1533-position model. The record is from RNAcentral.
AUUGAACGCUGGCGGCUUGCUUUACACAUGCAAGUCGAACGGUAACAGGGUGCUUGCACCGCUGACGAGUGGCGAACGGGUGAGUAAUGCGUCGGAACGUGCCGAGUAGUGGGGGAUAACGCAGCGAAAGUUGUGCUAAUACCGCAUACGUACUGAGGUAGAAAGUGGGGGACCUUCGGGCCUCACGCUAUUCGAGCGGCCGACGUCUGAUUAGCUAGUAGGUGAGGUAAAGGCUCACCUAGGCGACGAUCAGUAGCGGGUCUGAGAGGAUGAUCCGCCACACUGGGACUGAGACACGGCCCAGACUCCGACGGGAGGCAGCAGUGGGGAAUUUUGAACAAUGGGCGAAAGCCUGAUCCAGCCAUGCCGCGUGUCUGAAGAAGGCCUUCGGGUUGUAAAGGACUUUUGUCAGGGAGGAAAUCCCUAGUGCUAAUAACACUGGGGGAUGACAGUACCUGAAGAAUAAGCACCGGCUAACUACGUGCCAGCCGCCGCCGUAA